ACGGGUGAGUAACGCGUGGGUAACCUGCCUUAUACAGGGGGAUAACAGUUAGAAAUGACUGCUAAUACCGCAUAAGCGCACAGGAUUGCAUGAUCCGGUGUGAAAAACUCCGGUGGUAUAAGAUGGACCCGCGUCUGAUUAGCUUGUUGGUGAGGUAACGGCCCACCAAGGCGACGAUCAGUAGCCGACCUGAGAGGGUGACCGGCCACAUUGGGACUGAGACACGGCCCAAACUCCUACGGGAGGCAGCAUG
RNAcentral lists this ribosomal RNA (253 nucleotides) under uncultured bacterium. RNAcentral describes it as "partial 16S ribosomal RNA". It matches the Rfam family "Bacterial small subunit ribosomal RNA", at positions 102 to 353 of the family's 1533-position model. The record is from RNAcentral.